AACCUCCGCAAUGUGAGAAAUCGCGACGGGGGGAUCCCAAGUGCCAUUCCUAACGGGAUGGCUUUUCAUUAGUGUAAAGAGCUUUUGGAAUAAGAGCUGGGCAAGACCGGUGCCAGCCGCCGCGGUAACACCGGCAGCUCUAGUGGUAACAAUUUUUAUUGGGCCUAAAGCGUCCGUAGCCGGUUUAAUAAGUCUCUGGUGAAAUCCUGUAGCUUAACUGUGGGAAUUGCUGGAGAUACUAUUAGACUUGAGACCGGGAGAGGUUAGAGGUACUCCCAGGGUAGAGGUGAAAUUCUGUAAUCCUGGGAGGACCGCCUGUUGCGAAGGCGUCUAACUGGAACGGUUCUGACGGUGAGGGACGAAAGUUAGGGGCGCGAACCGGAUUAGAUACCCGGGUAGUCCUAACUGUAAACGAUGCGGACUUGGUGUUGGGGUGGCUUUGAGCUGCUCCAGUGCCGAAGGGAAGCUGUUAAGUCCGCCGCCUGGGAAGUACGGUCGCAAGACUGAAACUUAAAGGAAUU
RNAcentral lists this ribosomal RNA (521 nucleotides) under uncultured bacterium. RNAcentral describes it as "bacterial SSU rRNA". It matches the Rfam family "Archaeal small subunit ribosomal RNA", at positions 345 to 866 of the family's 1478-position model. The record is from RNAcentral.